RNAcentral lists this ribosomal RNA (879 nucleotides) under eukaryotic picoplankton environmental sample. Its description in RNAcentral is "SSU rRNA". It matches the Rfam family "Eukaryotic small subunit ribosomal RNA", at positions 127 to 1028 of the family's 1831-position model. The record is from RNAcentral.
UAUCAUUACUACAUGGAUACUGUGGUAAUUCUAGAGCUAAUACAUGCGUCAGCACCCGACUUCACGGAAGGGUCGUGUUUAUUAGAUACAAAACCAACAUCUCGUUGGUGAUUCAUAAUAACCAAGCGAAUCGCCGGUUUACCGGCGAUAGAUCGUUCAAGUUUCUGACCUAUCAGCUUUCGACGGUAGGGUAUUGGCCUACCGUGGCAAUGACGGGUAACGGAGAAUUAGGGUUCGAUUCCGGAGAGGGAGCCUGAGAAACGGCUACCACAUCUAAGGAUGGCAGCAGGCGCGCAAAUUACCCAAUCCUGACACAGGGGGGUAGUGACAAGAUAUAACAAUGUAGGGCAUAACUGUCUUACAAUUGGAAUGAGUAGAUUCUAAACCCCUUUGCGAGUAACAAUUGGAGGGCAAGUCUGGUGCCAGCAGCCGCGGUAAUUCCAGCUCCAAUAGCGUAUAUUAAAGUUGUUGCGGUUAAAAAGCUCGUAGUUGGAUUUCUGCCGAGGACGACCGAUCGGCCCAUACGGGCUUGAAUCAGGUUUGACCGAGGCAUCCUCUUGGAAGACGUGCAGCACUUCAUUGGGUUGUACGAAGUCCAAGACUUUUACUUUGAGGAAAUUAGAGUGUUUCAUACAGGCAAUCGCCGUGAAUACAUAAGCAUGGAAUAAUAAUAUAGGACUUCGGUUCUAUUUUGUUGGUUUCUGGAACUGAAGUAAUGAUUAAUAGGGACAGUCGGGGGCAUACGUACUUAACAGUCAGAGGUGAAAUUCUUGGAUUUGUUAAAGACGAACUACUGCGAAAGCAUUUGCCAAGGAUGUUUUCAUUGAUCAGGAACGAAAGUUAGGGGAUCGAAGACGAUUAGAUACCGUCGUAGUCUUA